CUGACGAGCGGCGAACGGGUGAGUAAUGCUUCGGAAUCUACCUUAUGGUGGGGAAUAACUAGCCGAAAGGUUAGCUAAUACCGCAUACGUCCUACGGGAGAAAGCAGGGGAUCGUAAGACCUUGCGCCAAAAGAUGAGCCGAAGUCGGAUUAGCUAGUUGGUAGGGUAACGGCCUACCAAGGCGACGAUCCGUAGCUGGUCUGAGAGGACGACCAGCCACACUGGGACUGAGACACGGCCCAG
This 243-nucleotide ribosomal RNA is filed under the name uncultured bacterium. RNAcentral's name for it is "partial 16S ribosomal RNA". It matches the Rfam family "Bacterial small subunit ribosomal RNA", at positions 88 to 334 of the family's 1533-position model. The record is from RNAcentral.